CGAAGGAUGCAAGCGUUAUCCGGAUUUAUUGGGUUUAAAGGGUGCGUAGGCGGGCUUAUAAGUCAGUGGUGAAAGCUUCCGGCUUAACCGGGAAAUUGCCAUUGAUACUGUAAGUCUUGAGUAUGGUUGAAGUGGGCGGAAUGUGCAGUGUAGCGGUGAAAUGCUUAGAUAUUGCACAGAACACCGAUUGCGAAGGCAGCUCGCUAAGCCAUAACUGACGCUGAGGCACGAAAGCAUGGGGAUCAAACAGGAUUAGAUACCCUGGUAGUCCAUGCCCUAAACGUUGAAUACUCGAUGUGUGCGAUAUACUGUACGCGUCUAAGCGAAAGCAUUAAGUAUUCCACCUGGGGAGUACGCUCGCAAGGGUG
This 368-nucleotide ribosomal RNA is filed under the name uncultured organism. Its description in RNAcentral is "bacterial SSU rRNA". It matches the Rfam family "Bacterial small subunit ribosomal RNA", at positions 526 to 896 of the family's 1533-position model. The record is from RNAcentral.